ACGCUCGACACCUACGGGGGCAGCAGUGGGGAAUAUUGGGCAAUGGGCGAAAGCCUGACCCAGCAACGCCGCGUGAGGGAAGAAGGUUUUCGGAUUGUAAACCUCUGUCCUCAGGGACGAAGGACGUGACGGUACCUGAGGAGGAAGCCCCGGCUAACUACGCGCCAGCAGCCGCGGUAAUCUGAGCGGGCUGGCAAGGC
This 200-nucleotide ribosomal RNA is filed under the name uncultured bacterium. Its description in RNAcentral is "partial 16S ribosomal RNA". It matches the Rfam family "Bacterial small subunit ribosomal RNA", at positions 328 to 539 of the family's 1533-position model. The record is from RNAcentral.